UAUACAUGCAGUCGAACGCUUCUUUUUCCACCGGAGCUUGCUCCACCGGAAAAAGAGGAGUGGCGAACGGGUGAGUAACACGUGGGUAACCUGCCCAUCAGAAGGGGAUAACACUUGGAAACAGGUGCUAAUACCGUAUAACAAUCGAAACCGCAUGGUUUUGAUUUGAAAGGCGCUUUCGGGUGUCGCUGAUGGAUGGACCCGCGGUGCAUUAGCUAGUUGGUGAGGUAACGGCUCACCAAGGCCACGAUGCAUAGCCGACCUGAGAGGGUGAUCGGCCACAUUGGGACUGAGACACGGCCCAAACUCCUACGGGAGGCAGCAGUAGGGAAUCUUCGGCAAUGGACGAAAGUCUGACCGAGCAACGCCGCGUGAGUGAAGAAGGUUUUCGGAUCGUAAAACUCUGUUGUUAGAGAAGAACAAGGAUGAGAGUAACUGUUCAUCCCUUGACGGUAUCUAACCAGAAAGCCACGGCUAACUACGUGCCAGCAGCCGCGGUAAUACGUAGGUGGCAAGCGUUGUCCGGAUUUAUUGGGCGUAAAGCGAGCGCGCGUUUCUAGUCUGAUGUGAAAGCCCCCGGCUCACCAGGAGGGUCAUCGAACCUGGAGACUGAGUGCAGAGAGAGAGUGAAUUUCCCAUGGUGUAGCGGUGAAUGGCGUAAGAUAUAUGAAGGACCACCAGGUGGCGAGGCGCUUCUUUGUUCGGUAACUGACGUGAGGCUGAAAGCGUGGGGAGCAACCAGGUUAGAUACCUUGUUGUUCCACGCCGGUAAACAUGAGUGCUAGGGUGGAAGGGUUUCGGCCUUUCAUUGCGGCAGCUAACGCAUUAACCAUUCGGCCGGGGGAGUACGACGCCAGGGUGGAAAUUCAAAGGAAUGACGGGGGGCCCGCACAAGGGUUGGAGCAUGUGGUUUAAUUGGAAGCAACCCGAGGAACCUACCCAGUUCUGGACUUCCUUGGACCAUUCAAAGGAAGGAGUUUCCCUUUGGGGGCCAAAUUGCCGGUUGGGCCAUGGUGUUGUUCAGUUGGGUUCUUAGGAUGUGGGUUUAAUUCCCCCACCGACCCCAACCCUUAUUUUUGGUGCCCUUCAUCCAUUGGGCCAUUCAACCAGGACGGCCGGUGCCAAACCGGGGGAAGGGGGGGAGGCCUUCAAUUCUCCUUCCCCUUUAUGCCUUGGGUUCCCCCCUUGUUCCAAUGGAAGGUCCACCGAGUUGGGAGGUCGGGGGGUUAAGUUAUUUUUUUAAGGUUUUUUCCAUUUGGAAUUCCGGGUUGCACUUGCCUGCCAGGAAGCGGGAUUCGUUGUUAUUCGGGGUUCACCACGCCCCGUGGAUUCCUUUCCCGGCCCUGGUCCCCCCCCCCCUCCCCACCACGGGAGUUGGUACCACCCGAGUUCGUGGAGGUACCCUUUGGAGCCAGC
RNAcentral lists this ribosomal RNA (1416 nucleotides) under Enterococcus faecium. RNAcentral describes it as "partial 16S ribosomal RNA". It matches the Rfam family "Bacterial small subunit ribosomal RNA". Lineage: Bacteria; Bacillati; Bacillota; Bacilli; Lactobacillales; Enterococcaceae. The record is from RNAcentral.